GAUCAUGGCUCAGGAUGAACGCUAGCUACAGGCUUAACACAUGCAAGUCGAGGGGUCUCAAGGGAGCUUGCUUCUGCGAGACGACCGGCGCACGGGUGAGUAACACGUAUGCAACCUGCCCUUGUCAGGGGGAUAAGCGAGGGAAACCUCGUCUAAUACCGCAUAUAUGAUUUAGAGGCAUCUUUUAAUCAGGAAAGAAUUAUCGGACAAGGAUGGGCAUGCGGGACAUUAGGUAGUUGGGGGUGUAACGGACCACCAAGCCGACGAUGUCUAGGGGUUCUGAGAGGAAGGUCCCCCACACUGGUACUGAGACACGGACCAGACUCCUACGGGAGGCAGCAGUGAGGAAUAUUGGUCAAUGGGCGAGAGCCUGAACCAGCCAAGUCGCGUGAGGGAAGACGGUACUAAGUAUUGUAAACCUCUUUUGUCAGGGAACAAAGAGACCACGUGUGGUAAGAUGAGUGUACCUGAAGAAAAAGCAUCGGCUAACUCCGUG
RNAcentral lists this ribosomal RNA (496 nucleotides) under uncultured bacterium. Its description in RNAcentral is "bacterial SSU rRNA". It matches the Rfam family "Bacterial small subunit ribosomal RNA", at positions 15 to 507 of the family's 1533-position model. The record is from RNAcentral.